RNAcentral lists this transfer RNA (75 nucleotides) under Pyrinomonadaceae bacterium. RNAcentral describes it as "tRNA-Met". It matches the Rfam family "tRNA". From Rfam's summary of the family: Transfer RNA (tRNA) molecules are approximately 80 nucleotides in length. The record is from RNAcentral. Lineage: Bacteria; Pseudomonadati; Acidobacteriota; Blastocatellia; Blastocatellales; Pyrinomonadaceae.
GGCUUCGUAGCUCAAACGGAUUAGAGCGCACGUCUCAUAAACGUGUGGUUGCGCGUUCGAUUCGCGCCGAAGCCA